GACGAACGCUGGCGGCGUGCUUAACACAUGCAAGUCGAACGGAAAGGCCCUGCUUUUGUGGGGUGCUCGAGUGGCGAACGGGUGAGUAACACGUGAGUAACCUGCCCUUGACUUUGGGAUAACUUCAGGAAACUGGGGCUAAUACCGGAUAGGAGCUCCUGCUGCAUGGUGGGGGUUGGAAAGUUUCGGCGGUUGGGGAUGGACUCGCGGCUUAUCAGCUUGUUGGUGGGGUAGUGGCUUACCAAGGCUUUGACGGGUAGCCGGCCUGAGAGGGUGACCGGCCACAUUGGGACUGAGAUACGGCCCAGACUCCUACGGGAGGCAGCAGUGGGGAAUAUUGCACAAUGGGCGGAAGCCUGAUGCAGCAACGCCGCGUGCGGGAUGACGGCCUUCGGGUUGUAAACCGCUUUCGCCUGUGACGAAGCGUGUGUGACGGUAAUGGGUAAAGAAGCACCGGCUAACUACGUGCCAGCAGCCGCGGUGAUACGUAGGGUGCGAGCGUUGUCCGGAUUUAUUGGGCGUAAAGGGCUCGUAGGUGGUUGAUCGCGUCGGAAGUGUAAUCUUGGGGCUUAACCCUGAGCGUGCUUUCGAUACGGGUUGACUUGAGGAAGGUAGGGGAGAAUGGAAUUCCUGGUGGAGCGGUGGAAUGCGCAGAUAUCAGGAGGAACACCAGUGGCGAAGGCGGUUCUCUGGGCCUUUCCUGACGCUGAGGAGCGAAAGCGUGGGGAGCGAACAGGCUUAGAUACCCUGGUAGUCCACGCUGUAAACGGUGGGUACUAGGUGUGGGGUCCAUUCCACGGGUUCCGUGCCGUAGCUAACGCUUUAAGUACCCCGCCUGGGGAGUACGGCCGCAAGGCUAAAACUCAAAGGAAUUGACGGGGCCCCGCACAAGCGGCGGAGCAUGCGGAUUAAUUCGAUGCAACGCGUAGAACCUUACCUGGGUUUGACAUGGAUCGGGAGCGCUCAGAGAUGGGUGUGCCUCUUUUGGGGUCGGUUCACAGGUGGUGCAUGGCUGUCGUCAGCUCGUGUCGUGAGAUGUUGGGUUAAGUCCCGCAACGAGCGCAACCCUUGUUCACUGUUGCCAGCACGUUAUGGUGGGGACUCAGUGGAGACCGCCGGGGUCAACUCGGAGGAAGGUGGGGAUGACGUCAAGUCAUCAUGCCCCUUAUGUCCAGGGCUUCACGCAUGCUACAAUGGCUGGUACAGAGAGUGGCGAGCCUGUGAGGGUGAGCGAAUCUCGGAAAGCCGGUCUCAGUUCGGAUUGGGGUCUGCAACUCGACCUCAUGAAGUCGGAGUCGCUAGUAAUCGCAGAUCAGCAACGCUGCGGUGAAUACGUUCCCGGG
This 1343-nucleotide ribosomal RNA is filed under the name uncultured bacterium. Its description in RNAcentral is "16S ribosomal RNA". It matches the Rfam family "Bacterial small subunit ribosomal RNA", at positions 28 to 1378 of the family's 1533-position model. The record is from RNAcentral.